This 523-nucleotide ribosomal RNA is filed under the name uncultured Diversispora. RNAcentral's name for it is "SSU rRNA". It matches the Rfam family "Eukaryotic small subunit ribosomal RNA", at positions 567 to 1092 of the family's 1831-position model. The record is from RNAcentral. Lineage: Eukaryota; Fungi; Glomeromycota; Glomeromycetes; Diversisporales; Diversisporaceae.
CCAGCCGCGGUAAUUCCAGCUCCAAUAGCGUAUAUUAAAGUUGUUGCAGUUAAAAAGCUCGUAGUUGAACUUCGGGGUUCACCCAUUGGUCAGGCUUAAUUGUCUGUACUGGUGAGAUGAGUCUCUACCUUCUGAGGAACUUUCAUGCCAUUUAUUUGGUGUGGUUGGAAAUCAGGACUGUUACUUUGAAAAAAUUAGAGUGUUUAAAGCAGGCUAACGUCUGAAUACAUUAGCAUGGAAUAAUGAAAUAGGACGGAUUGAUUCUAUUUCGUUGGUUUCUAGGGUCACCGUAAUGAUUAAUAGGGAUAGUUGGGGGCAUUAGUAUUCAAUUGUCAGAGGUGAAAUUCUUGGAUUUAUUGAAGACUAACUACUGCGAAAGCAUUUGCCAAGGAUGUUUUCAUUAAUCAAGAACGAAAGUUAGGGGAUCGAAGACGAUCAGAUACCGUCGUAGUCUUAACCAUAAACUAUGCCGACUAGGGAUCGGACGCAGUUAAUUUUAUAAUGACGUGUUCGGCACCUUACA